AUAGCGCAUAGUACCGUGAGGGAAAGGUGAAAAGAACCCCGGGAGGGGAGUGAAAAAGAACCUGAAACCCUGUGCUUACAAGCACUGAGAGCACGUCAAAGUGUGAUCAGGUACCUUUUGUAGAAUGGUCCGGCGAGUUAUCGUAUGCAGCAAGGUUAAGAACUUAAGGUUUGAAGCCGAAGCGAGAGCAAGUCUGAAAAGGGCAUCAAGUUGCAUGCGAUAGACCCGAAACCGAGUGACCUAGCCAUGUCCAGGCUGAAGUGGAGGUAAAACUCCAUGGAGGGCCGAACCGACCCCCGUUGAAAAGGUGGCGGAUGAGGUGUGGCUAGCGGAGAAAUUCCAAUCGAACUCGGAUAUAGCUGGUUCUCCCCGAAAUAGCUUUAGGGCUAGCGUUGUAUUAGAUUACCGGAGGUAAAGCACUGAAUGGGCUAGGGGCCGAAAGGUUACUGAACCUUAUCAAACUAAGAAUGCCGGAUAAUUGAUGUACAGCAGUCAGACUGUGUGAGAUAAGUCUCACAGUCGAAAGGGAAACAGCCCAGACCCACAGCUAAGGUCCCAAAAUAGAUUUAAGUGGAAAAGGAUGUGGGGUUGCACAGACAACCAGGAUGUUGGCUUAGAAGCAGCCACUCAUUAAAAGAGUGCGUAAUAGCUCACUGGUCGAGUGACCCUGCGCCGAAAAUUCAACGGGGCUAAAAUCUAUACCGAAGCUUGGGCUGCAAUUGAAAGAUUGCGGGGUAGGGGAGCGUCGUAUAAGAGGAGAAGUCAUAGCGGAAGCGAUGGUGGAUUUUAUACGAGUGAGAAUGCCGGAAUGAGUAGCGAGAAUUAUGUGAGAAUCAUAAUGGCCGAAAAUCUAAGGAUUUAGGAGGAAGGUUCGUCCGCUCCUAGUAAGCCGGGAGCUAAGGCGAGGCGGAAACGCGUAGCCGAUGCACAUACGGUAGAAAUUCCGUAGCCUCUGAAAGAUUUAAGCACAAGGACACUUGAGAAGCGUUUAUCCGGGAGUUGGUAUUCCCGGUCGUAAGGGACCCCGAAUGGGGGAAGUAAAUGUGGAUUGAGGCAAGAAAAGUUGUGUGAAUAUCUGAAGAGCCCGUACCGCAAACCGACACAGGUAGAUAGGAAGAGAAUUCUAAGGCCAACGGGAGAAGGGUUGUUAAGGAACUCGGCAAGUUGACUCCGUAACUUAGGGAGAAGGAGUGCUCGAAAGAGCCGCAGAGAAUAGGCCCAAGCGACUGUUUAGCAAAAACACAGCUCUAUGCUAAAUCGAAAGAUGACGUAUAUGGGGUGACACCUGCCCGGUGCUGGAAGGUUAAGAGGAGAAGUGAGAGCUUUGAAUCGAAGCCCCAGUAAACGGCGGCCGUAACUAUAACGGUCCUAAGGUAGCGAAAUUCCUUGUCAGGUAAGUUCUGACCCGCACGAAUGGCGUAACGAUUUGGGCACUGUCUCAACAGCCCGCCCGGCGAAAUUGUAGUACCGGUGAAGAUGCCGGUUACCCGCGACUAGACGGAAAGACCCCAUGGAGCUUCACUGUAGCUUAAUAUUGGAUUUUGGUAUUUCAUGUACAGGAUAGGUGGGAGACUGAGAAGCAAAGGCGUCAGCUUUUGUGGAGUCGCUGUUGGGAUACCACUCUUGAAGUGCUGAAAUUCUAACCUGCGCCCUUGAAUCAGGGCGGGGGACAUUGUUAGGUGGGCAGUUUGACUGGGGCGGUCGCCUCCUAAAGAGUAACGGAGGCGUUCAAAGGUUCGCUCAGCUUGAACGGAAAUCAAGCAAAAGAGUGCAAACGCAGAAGCGAGCCUAACUGCGAGACUGACGGGUCGAGCAGUAACGAAAGUUGGAGUUAGUGAUCCGGCGGUAUGUGAGUGGAAAUGCCGUCGCUCAACGGAUAAAAGCUACCCUGGGGAUAACAGGCUGAUCU
RNAcentral lists this ribosomal RNA (1909 nucleotides) under human gut metagenome. RNAcentral's name for it is "bacterial LSU rRNA". It matches the Rfam family "Bacterial large subunit ribosomal RNA", at positions 487 to 2488 of the family's 2925-position model. The record is from RNAcentral.